RNAcentral lists this ribosomal RNA (499 nucleotides) under uncultured bacterium. RNAcentral describes it as "partial 16S ribosomal RNA". It matches the Rfam family "Bacterial small subunit ribosomal RNA", at positions 28 to 507 of the family's 1533-position model. The record is from RNAcentral.
GAUGAACGCUGGCGGCGUGCCUAAUACAUGCAAGUCGAGCGAACAGACGAGAGUGCUUGCACUCUCUGACGUUAGCGGCGGACGGGUGAGUAACACGUGGGUAACCUACCUAUAAGACUGGGAUAACUUCGGGAAACCGGAGCUAAUACCGGAUAAUAUUUAGCUUCGCAUGAAGCAAUAGUGAAAGACGGUUCUGCUGUCACUUAUAGAUGGACCCGCGGUGUAUUAGCUAGUUGGUGGGGUAACGGCUCACCAAGGCAACGAUCCAUAGCCGACCUGAGAGGGUGAUAGGCCACACUGGGACUGAGACACGGCCCAGACUCCUACGGGAGGCAGCAGUAGGGAAUCUUCCGCAAUGGACGAAAGUCUGACGGAGCAAUGCCGCGUGAGUGAAGAAGGUUUUCGGAUCGUAAAACUCUGUUGUAAGGGAAGAACAAGUACGUUAGUAACUGAACGUAGCUUGACGGUACCUUACCAGAAAGCCACGGCUAACUACGUG